UUGGAUGAGUUGCGAACGGGUGAGUAACGCGUAGGUAACCUGCCUGGUAGCGGGGGAUAACUAUUGGAAACGAUAGCUAAUACCGCAUAAAAUUGAUUAUUGCAUGAUAAUUAAUUGAAAGAUGCAAUUGCAUCACUACCAGAUGGACCUGCGUUGUAUUAGCUAGUUGGUGAGGUAACGGCUCACCAAGGCGACGAUACAUAGCCGACCUGAGAGGGUGAUCGGCCACACUGGGACUGAGACACGGCCCAGACUCCUACGGGAGGCAGCAGUAGGGAAUCUUCGGCAAUGGGGGGAACCCUGACCGAGCAACGCCGCGUGAGUGAAGAAGGUUUUCGGAUCGUAAAGCUCUGUUGUAAGAGAAGAACGGGUGUGAGAGUGGAAAGUUCACACUGUGACGGUAUCUUACCAGAAAGGGACGGCUAACUACGUGCCAGCAGCCGCGGUAAUACGUAGGUCCCGAGCGUUGUCCGGAUUUAUUGGGCGUAAAGCGAGCGCAGGCGGUUAGAUAAGUCUGAAGUUAAAGGCUGUGGCUUAACCAUAGUAUGCUUUGGAAACUGUUUAACUUGAGUGCAGAAGGGGAGAGUGGAAUUCCAUGUGUAGCGGUGAAAUGCGUAGAUAUAUGGAGGAACACCGGUGGCGAAAGCGGCUCUCUGGUCUGUAACUGACGCUGAGGCUCGAAAGCGUGGGGAGCAAACAGGAUUAGAUACCCUGAUAGUCCACGCCGUAAACGAUGAGUGCUAGGUGUUAGGCCCUUUCCGGGGCUUAGUGCCGCAGCUAACGCAUUAAGCACUCCGCCUGGGGAGUACGACCGCAAGGUUGAAA
Molecule: ribosomal RNA, 825 nt
Filed under: Streptococcus sanguinis
Lineage: Bacteria; Bacillati; Bacillota; Bacilli; Lactobacillales; Streptococcaceae
Description: bacterial SSU rRNA
Rfam family: Bacterial small subunit ribosomal RNA
Source: RNAcentral